This 301-nucleotide ribosomal RNA is filed under the name uncultured bacterium. Its description in RNAcentral is "partial 16S ribosomal RNA". It matches the Rfam family "Bacterial small subunit ribosomal RNA", at positions 509 to 807 of the family's 1533-position model. The record is from RNAcentral.
CAGUCGCCGCGGGAAUACGAAGGGGGCUAGCGUUGUUCGGAUUUACUGGGCGUAAAGGGCGCGUAGGCGGGCUGAUAAGUCGGGGGUGAAAUCCCAAGGCUCAACCUUGGAACUGCCUUUGAUACUGUUGGUCUUGAGUCCGGGAGAGGUGAGUGGAACUGCGAGUGUAGAGGUGAAAUUCGUAGAUAUUCGCAAGGACACCAGUGGCGAAGGCGGCUCACUGGCCCGGAACUGACGCUGAGGCGCGAAAGCGUGGGGAGCGAACAGGAUUAGAUACCCCUGUAGUCCCUGUCUCUUAUAC